UGCAGGAGUUCUAGACUGUAGAAAUGAGAUGUUUCUUUGUUAAAUGUUUGACUAUAUUGAAUUUAUUGUUGUGGUUGUCUCAGAACAAGUUGUAUAAGCAGAGGCCAUAUUUAAAUUUAUCUAAGUUUGCUGGCACAGAGGAUUUGGAUAGGGCCAAACGAUCUCCCUUUGCUGCUUCCAGAAACACAGUAAAAUAUUCUCCAGGAUAGCAGCACAACCUUUAGGCUGAAAUCAUUCUGAUUGCUUGGGGUCAGGGUACUAGGUUCAGGGAAAGAAAAAUGUCUCUGCCUCUCCUACCUAGAUUUCCUCAACCUAUUUACACUGAAUAUUCAGAAGAUUUCCAUCAAUUGGUAACAAAAAGCUGAAAAAUAUUUCCAGCAUUACAUUUUCAAAAUUAUUUCCAUAAGCCAUGAAAGACAAUCUUUCUUCUUCAUACUUUCCUCCAAAAAUUAACCUAGUAUGCAGCAUCUAUACUCUCCCUAUCCACAUCAACAAUUCUGCUCUUUGAAAAGUACUUUUCUUCAUGUCAUCUUUCCAACUUGCUAUAUUCCUAUAUAGCUCUUACCUUCUGUAAUGAGACACGUAUGAGAGAAUGGAAUGGACAUAAGGUUUUUGUUCUGACAUACUCUCCCACCUGAACACAUAUUUGCUUAAAUAUCUAUAUUGUGGGAUCCUAGAGGAGGAGGAGAGUGGGAAAUGUUUAUGAGAACGAGGAGAGAAAAACAGAUCUCAUCAUUCUGUUUCAUUUGUUUUGAAACAAGUAAAUAGUUCAUUGUGUUUGUGAAAUAAAUGAAUGAUGAAUGAAUGAAUAUAUUAAAUUCUAAUUACCACAAAGAAAUUAUUCUCGGGAAACAGAAAAUGGUCUUCCUGUUAUAUCUGCAGAAAUCACUCUCAGAAGAGGAAGAGAAAGAGAACACAAGCAAAUACAGCAGCAAGCAGAGAGAAGGAGAAGCAGGCUCUCUACUGAGCAGAGAAGCCAAUGUGGGGCUCGAUUCCAGGACACUGAAAACAUGACCUGAAGCAAAGCAAUUCAUGAAAAUUGUCAGAAGGUUUCCACCAGUUCACGGCUCUAGCAGCUUCUGCUACAGAAGAUUUUAUGUAUUCAUGAAAGACACAGAGAGAGAGGCAGAGACAUAGGC
Canis lupus familiaris (dog) is the source of this 1139-nucleotide long non-coding RNA. RefSeq lists it as uncharacterized. Lineage: Eukaryota; Metazoa; Chordata; Mammalia; Carnivora; Canidae. The transcript is spliced from 4 exons. The record is from RefSeq and is a predicted model, not a curated record.